UACUGCUACCCUCCCCUGCAUAGUCCUGAUUUUUCUCGUCAAAAUAAUAUUCAUCUGGAAUAUAAUCAUCUAUGUCUUGUGGACAUGGGUCUUCAAGUACUUCAAGAGUACUUUGUGCUGCUUUUUGUGCAUCAUCCUCCUCUUCCACCCCAAGGGUGACUGGGGAAUAGAAAUAUGGUCACUUGGUCUUCUCCCGACCGGCAGUAAAACGCUUGCCGAAGUGGGGCGUCCGUUUGGCUGUGCGGGAUGUAUCAAGUUCGCAGUCGCGUCCGGUCAGAAGGGGGACGUUAAAUCCGAUGCCUCGUGUGAAGAGAGUGCCACGCUCUUUGCACGUUAAGAACCCUUGCAACAACUCUUUGAGGGGUCCGUAGGUGGCCUGUUGCAAGGUAAAAUUUCUGUCCCUAUCCAAUAUACCCUCAUUUUCCAGUGGCAGUCAAAAUUUCCCCGACCAUCAUCCCAGAUGGCCUGUAUUAUAUCAACCUACCUAUUGUUCUCGUCCUGAAUAUGCAUGAAAUAUUUGCAACUGGACGUUAAGCAACCAACAAUCAAUCAAUCCUCUUCCUCUUGACCUUGAUUGCUAUUGAUUAUGUCUGUAAAAUACCAAAAUGAUAAAAUAAAUAAUAAAGUUUCCCACCUGCUCGAUUUGAUUGAAUUAAUCUAUAAAAUGUAAGAGCUGUAAAGUGAAAUGUGAUGCUUUCUUUCUCAGUUUUAGGGUGAUCUUGACAUGCGAGUAAACAGGAGUAUGAGAGACAAUAGAGGGUUCACAUAAGAACAUUUCAAUUACAUCAAGUGAUUUUAGUUGUACAUGUACAGGUAUUUAUUCAUGUGUUUUGAACAGCUACAACACAUAUUUUAAAUUGUGAUACAGGGGUCAUAAUUAUUCCUUGUCUGGUGGUCUAGGACCAGUAGAACUUGCAUCGGAUUCAGACCGUCUAGCAGAUUUUGUAAGCUGGUAAACCAGUUGAAAUUUGACAAUUACACUGCUGUUUGCAUGUCAAUCACGCUUUGAGUACCUGCAAACUCAAUUGCACAGUACUAGGGAUAUUCACAAUUUUUCAAAUUACUCAUAAUUUCAGAUGAGGAUCCCUCUGACAGUACAACAACAAUUGUGGAAGGUUUCAAACCGCCUGAUAAUAAAAUUACAGAAGUUGAUGAAUAAAAAGAAGAUAGAAAUAAAGCCCAUCAAAAUGGAAAAAAAGUCGAAAAAUUUCAGAAAUCAUGGCAAAUGGAUCAUAAGUGCUGCUUUAGAAUGUGGAUCAAAAUUUUAUGAAUUGAACCACCUGUGAAAAAUUUGCUUUGACGGAAAAUGACAAACAAUCGGUUUUUGUAAAUUGAUCCAUCAAUUUUAAAUGAAGGAUGGAAAGGAAAUAACUAAUUAGCACCCAAAGUAACUAGCCAAUAAACUAACUUAUUUUAGUCAGUACAAAAUCCAAUACGAAAGGAUCAUUGCUGAAAUACAUGGACAUAGCAAAAAUUAAACAAAAAAGAGACAGCAAUUCUGUGAUUUAUAAAAACAAUAGACAAAACACACACAUCAAUUAUGCAUUUAUUCCAACUGAUGAAUUUCUGUUUAUGAUACAUUUGUCUUUAUAAAUAAGAAAUCUGUUGAGAGCAUCAGUCUUCGUAGACUUCAUUGAAGUCGAGUCUUCAAUUUUAAAUGAAGGAUGGAAAGGAAAUAACUAAUAAGCAC
RNAcentral lists this long non-coding RNA (1690 nucleotides) under Mytilus galloprovincialis (Mediterranean mussel). The record is from RNAcentral. Lineage: Eukaryota; Metazoa; Mollusca; Bivalvia; Mytilida; Mytilidae.